CAAAAACAUCACCUCUAGCAUUAUUAGUAUUAGAGGCACUGCCUGCCCAGUGACAACCGUUAAACGGCCGCGGUAUCCUGACCGUGCAAAGGUAGCAUAAUCACUUGUUCUCUAAAUAAGGACUUGUAUGAAUGGCCACACGAGGGUUUUACUGUCUCUUACUUCCAAUCAGUGAAAUUGACCUUCCCGUGAAGAGGCGGGAAUAUAUUAAUAAGACGAGAAGACCCUAUGGAGCUUUAACUACUUAGCCCAAAGAAACAAAAUUUAUUUCCAAGGAAACAACAGCAUUCUUUAUGGGUUAACAGCUUUGGUUGGGGUGACCUCGGAGAAUAAAAAAUCCUCCGAGCGAUUUUAAAGACUAGACCCACAAGUCAAAUCACAUAAUCGCUUAUUGAUCCAAAAAAUUGAUCAACGGAACAAGUUACCCUAGGGAUAACAGCGCAAUCCUAUUCAAGAGUCCAUAUCGACAAUAGGGUUUACGACCUCGAUGUUGGAUCAGGACAUCCUGAUGGUGCAACCGCUAUCAAAGGUUCGUUUGUUCAACGAUUAAAGUCCUACGUGAUCUGA
RNAcentral lists this ribosomal RNA (567 nucleotides) under Muntiacus rooseveltorum (Roosevelt muntjac). RNAcentral describes it as "partial 16S ribosomal RNA". It matches the Rfam family "Bacterial large subunit ribosomal RNA", at positions 1808 to 2608 of the family's 2925-position model. Lineage: Eukaryota; Metazoa; Chordata; Mammalia; Artiodactyla; Cervidae. The record is from RNAcentral.